AACGCACAUUGCGCCCGGCAGCAAUCUGCCGGGCAUGCCUGUCCGAGCGUCAUUUCUGCCCUCGAGCGCGGUUCGGUCCCACCGUGGGCCGCGCCGCCGCCCGGUGUUGGGGCGCUGCGGGCCACCGUUGCCCGCAGGCCCUGAAAUGAAGUGGCGGUCCCGCCGCGGCGCCCCCUGCGUAGUAAGUUAGCUCACCUCGCAUCGGGUCCCGGCGAAGGCCAGCCGUCGAACCUCAACUCCUGAUGGUUUGACCUCGGAUCAGGUAGGGUUACCCGCUGAACUUAA
RNAcentral lists this unclassified non-coding RNA (285 nucleotides) under uncultured fungus. RNAcentral describes it as "partial contains 5.8S ribosomal RNA, internal transcribed spacer 2, and large subunit ribosomal RNA". Lineage: Eukaryota; Fungi. The record is from RNAcentral.